This is an RNA transcript of Entelurus aequoreus (snake pipefish), 4318 nucleotides long. It is a transcript of the gene named c2cd2 like, with no coding region annotated. The transcript is spliced from 16 exons. Lineage: Eukaryota; Metazoa; Chordata; Actinopteri; Syngnathiformes; Syngnathidae. The record is from RefSeq and is a predicted model, not a curated record.
UCUGAGCGCCUCCUGCUGGUCACCACCACCGCUACCACCUUCAAAGCGCUCAUUGCGGAGAGGUUACUAUCAGUCGGUCACAGAGGAGGAUCAUUACAGGUUCCAAACCAAUGAGAGCAGGUAGCAUGGCGACGUUGAGCCGAAACGCCGCUUUCUAAUCUAAUCGUCGUUAUUGAUGCAACGCACGUACUCACGAGGCUCCCCGACUAUGCGACGGGACACAUUCAUGUGUGGUUGGCGCCAGUGUUUAUCGCCAUGAAGGCAGCUUCAGGUUACCGCGACUUGCUUUCGUUUCCCUGCAGGCUGCGGCCAGGACCGUGCAAGUUAAACGGUUAAAGGGGCCUGAUCUGCCCUCGUCUGACAGUCCUAACAUUUCCAUAUGGACAUGAGAGGCUUCAGGAGGUGGUGAUGGAGCUCCAGGAGUUGAGCUGGCUGGCUCUAGUGGGGCUCUUCCUGGCCUCCAUGCUCAUAGUGCUGGCCUGGCUCUUGCAGUACUCGCUGACCCUCCUUCGGCUGUGGAGAACCAGGAAGGCGGCCGAACAGCGUCAACAUCAGCAGCAUCUCUCUCUCAGGCAGCAUCACGGCUGGGCUGGGAGUGUGCGGGGCUUCCUGGUGAAGCUUCGUAUGGCUCGGGAUGGAGGAGCUGCAUCUGAAGCCGGGGUUAAAGCCUUGUUGACCUCUCUCUUGUCCUUCAAGUCAAUCAGGGAACAGUGUCUCAGGAGCUGGGUGAAAGCUUUGAAUGAGCAAGCCUGCAGAAACGGGAGCUCCAUCCAAAUCACUUUUGACAGCAGUCUGCAGUUUACUGCCACUCCUGCAAUAGAGACUGUCACCUGCACAGACCAAUCAGCACAAAGAAUGGUUUUACAUUGUACAUGUCGGGUGGACACGGUGGCAUUUCCUGUGACGGUUACACGGCAGUCCCCUGCCGCCAUCGCCAUGGACACCUAUCAAAUUACGAUUGCGCCUACAGCAGCAAAGGUGGUCGCAUGUCUGAAAGAGGUGGAAGACGAAGGUAUCCAAGUGUCGUGGACUAUUUCCAAGCAACCAUCUUUUAAACUGUCAGCAUCGUCAUGCAAACUGCAGAGACAUGGUGCCAAUGCAGAGGUAGACCUGGACGUGAUCACGAGCCUGAUAGAAGAUACUCUGUUCAGCUCUCAUCCAGCCAUGGUCCUCAACCUCAGGGCCUGUGCAGCUACUACUCCUGCCACCAUGGAGCAUCUAUCAGUAGGACUAAAGCCUGUACCCCAGAGUGUCUUGGUGCGCCGACUACUGCUACGGCAGCUCAGAGCGACCCUAAGCAAAGGUCAGUGGUGUAGCUCAGUGGAGCUGUGCUGCGUCAUAAGCCUGAACCAACCCUCCACAGAAAGGACAACCUGCUUCCUGCCUGUGCCAAACAACCCCAAUACCCCUCUGGAAUGGAGAGAAGAAAUUACCCUGGAACUGAGCCCAGAAACCAAAGAGCUGAGAGUGAGACUUCUGGAGCGGAAUGGCAAAAGCGAGCAAUUUCUCCCAGGACAUGCCUCCUUGGCCUUAGACCUGCAGUCCAAAGUUCCUACCUCUGUCACACUCACAGUAAAGUCAAGCACCGCUUUGGAACUUAUUGCCACCAUCACAGCAGAACUUCAGUAUGUGGAAAGUGAGGAACUUCUCCCACCACUCCGUUCCUCACUCACCCCUACCAAAAAGGUUGACGUUGAUCGAACCAUCAUGCCGGAUGGAACCAUCGUCACCACUGUGACAACUGUUCAGUCCCGACUCAAACUGGAAUGCAGCCCAGGGGAGUCACCGUUGCGUUCCCCGUCCAAAGUGGAGGUGACUGAGAAGAAGCCCACCGUUCUCCAUGAUGGAAGAGAAACGCCCAGUCCUGAUCCCAGCAAGGGCACCCGCUUGUCUAACGGCUUGGAUCCUGUUGCAGAAACAGCCAUUCGACAGCUGACCGAGUCCAACUCCAAAAUGGCUCGUAAGACCCCAACGAAAAGAAGCACGCUGAUCAUCUCGGGCGUGUCAAAGGUUCCACUCUCUAAGGACGAGUGCACUUUGUCGAGUGGCUAUGCCGCCGCAAUGGACGCCACCAUGCAAAGCAACCAGUUUGGGUUGGGUCGACACCAGGAGCCAGAGGAGACCACACCGUCGGAUGUGUCGGAGCGUCCGUCUGUGGACGAUGUGGAAUCAGACACUGGCUCCACUGGUGCCUUGGAAACACGCAGCCUGAAGGACCAUAAAGUGGGAAUUCUGCGAAGUGGAUCAAAGCUGCUGUUCCGCAGAAGACACCGGGAGAAGGAGCCCUGCCUCAGCCAGUCUCAUGAAGACAUCUCCAAAAUGGAGAAUAACUUUGCAGCGAAUUCAGCAAACAGUCGAAAGAAGUCCGGCAGCUUCUCACGACGGCUCAUCAAGCGCUUCUCUUUUCGAUCAUCGGGGAAAUGGAAAGGGAAAUCUGCAAGCACCAAUGGGGGAGCAAGCUCUGCCAAUAACUGAUAUCUUGCUGACUCAGCACAUUGGAUGGAGGACACCAUUUGAAAUACUCCAGGACAAAUCAAAUUACUGAAGCUGAAAUGAGAUGAAGACUAUUGUUUUGGAGGGUAAUAUUUUGCUGGACUGAGACAUGGGAACAGUUGCAAUGAAAUGCUGUGCUUCUUUUUAACUCUUCUUUGAAAUCAUUUAAUGAUGCCACUACAAUGGUAGUGGUGCACUUUAGACUCUACUGGUUUUUUUUUUACAUUCUACAUAACAUGUGGGAUGCAUGCAUAAAAGUAAUUUAUUAUUGUGUGGUUCUCAUGAAAUAAGUGCUAUUUAUUUUAACCAUACAAUGGGUUGUCUUAGUUGCAUUACGCUGUAAAAUAGAGACAUUGCUGUGAUUUUCCAUACAAAAAAACCUGCAAAUUUACAUGUUAAUCUAGUCAUGUUUUCCUCUUGUGAUUGUGUACACAUUGCUUUAAGACAGGGGUGUCCAAACCUUUUCCACAGAGGGGCCGCAUAAAAAAAUAUUAAAGGAUGCGGGGGCCACUUUGAUACAUUUUGUAGAUUAAAGAUACUACAAUCAGUACAUUAUAGGUCAAUCAAUAUAUGUUAAAGCAUCUGAACACAACAUGACAUCUUAGCUUUGUACUAAAUUAAGCAUUUUAAAGCAUAAAAAUGGCUAAAUGAACUAAAAACAAAAAAAACAAUAUGACCAAGCUAUUGUGGCCACUGAUUGGCUCAACCUCAGAGCAUUACUAACAUUAGCAUGCUAACUUUUUCCACCAAUUUUGUAGCCAAACGCCAGGCUUAGACUAAUAUAACCUGGUACUUGACACAUUUAGCAUGCUAACAAUCGCAGGCUAACUUUUUUUAGGCAGUUUUGCAGCUGAACACCUCAGAAUCAUAACUUGGUACUUUGACAAUGGUUAACUGUUAGAAUGAUGAUGCUAACUUUUUAUUUUUUAGCUAAUUUUACAUGCGUACGCUAAAUUGUCAUAUGAGGUGGUACUUGACACAUUCUAACUGUUGGCAUGCUAACGUUAGUAUUUUAAAAUGUGUUGCAGGAAAAUUAAAAACAAGCUGCGGGCUGCAAAUGGCCCCCUGGCUGCACUUUGGACACCCCUGCUUUAAGCUAUUAUUCAAUGAUGUAGUUUUUAAAAUAAGCAGGAAACUUACAUAUUCUACUUUUUUAAAUAAAUUCAUUUUGGUUUGCAGCGGAGUUUCUUCAAAAGUACAGUCGGCGCCUUUAUUGUUAAAACAAUAUGUCGUUUAUUGGUACUGUCCAUGUAAAAAAAAAAAAAAAAGAUUGGGCCCUUCUACUUCACGAAAGCACAAUGUGUACUGAAAAGCAUUAUAUUUGAGAUGAUGCUUACAAACAUUUCUGCAUUGAAAUACAAUAAACGUUUUCUUAGGUUGCAGGGAUAAAAUGCUAAAUAAAAUGUAUCAUUAUGUUACAAGUUUUGUAAGUGUUCCAAAAGGCCCCUGUGAAUAUGAUGAAGGACUUGUUAUGAAGAGGAUGUACUCACUGCUCAGGGUUCAAAUACAACAUGGCUUCCACUGAAAACGUUUGAAGGCAAACAGUCAGGAUGUACGUACAGUAGACACAUUUGGCCGCUUAGCAAAAGAUUUCCGUUUUUUCCGCAGUAGCUUUAAAAUUUGAAACAGGAAUUGAGAAACUGCAUCCAUGAAGAUAUUGAUGGAUAUAUACAUGAAGGAUCAAUCCAAACGGCAACGUGUAAAAGUGAACAAAGCCACGGGAAUGUGAAACCGGAAAUGGUGGCUGGGUGGUUCCUGUUGUGAUUUUGAGAUGUUUAAUAUAUCGCAAAUAAAUUAUUUUGAAACCACUCUUCAUUCGGAUGUG